Ixodes scapularis (black-legged tick) is the source of this 2737-nucleotide RNA transcript. It is a transcript of the gene named inositol polyphosphate-5-phosphatase A, with no coding region annotated. The transcript is spliced from 17 exons. NCBI's taxonomy places the organism in Eukaryota, Metazoa, Arthropoda, Arachnida, Ixodida, Ixodidae. The record is from RefSeq and is a predicted model, not a curated record.
UAGUGGGCGGGGUAUGGUGGUACGGUUCACGGUGGUAUGGUUCGUACAGUUCGUGUGGCUGGUGUGGCUUCCGCUACUUGGAAGAGAGGACCUCGGUCGAGUCGGCCGCGAACAUGAACGAAUCUGCCGUCGGCUGAUCGGGGAGUCCGGCAUGGGAGCUUCGGACGGUCUCCCGUGAACGUCCUUGUUUUCCGGAAACAGCAACACCAGGAAGCACGGACGGGGACAGUGAUGGGCGAUCACAUACCGGUACUUCUAGUCACCGCCAAUGUAGGAUCCAUCUUUGAAGAGCCCCAGACACUUCUGCCGGGAUGGAUUGGUGCAUUCCUUGCGACGGUCAAAAAGAAUCAGCCCAGCUUUUUGGCACUUCAUUGUCAAGAAGUUGGUGGCAAGAACUACGAGAAGACCAUGCCACAUGUGGCCGAUUUCAUCAGGGCACUAGUGUCGAGCGAGGAACUGACAAACUACAUGGCAGUACGGGUGUUCUUAGAUGAGGACUUCUCCUGCAUAGAAAAGUUUACGGCUUUAGGCAACUUGUACUUUGUUCACCAGUCACUCAAGAACCCCCAAAUCUGGGAUUUUCAGGAGUGUCGUUUCCUGCCUGUCACGGGGGUGGAGGUGCACUCUGGAAACAUAGAGAAAGUGUUGUCCAAAGAAAAAGUUAAAUUCCCGCAGGAAUUCUUUCCCGAGUGCAAGUGGUCCAGGAAAGGUUUUAUGAGGACAAGGUGGAGCCUGCAUGGCACUGUAUUUGAUCUAAUCAAUAUCCAUUUGUUUCACGACGAGUCAAACUUCAUAGCAAUGGAAUCUUUUCCUUCUUUGUACACGAGAAACAGACAAGGUGCACUCGACUACACUCUGAACAGGAUACAAAACGACAAGUAUGACAAAGUUCCCUUCUUUAUCUUUGGAGACUUCAAUUUUAGACUCGACACGCAAGCUGUCGUAGAGAAAAUUACUCGAAAGGCUCCUCCGGUCCAGGUGAAGAGUGGCAAGAAUGGGGACGUUACCAAAGUCUUGUUCAGGGACCCCAAAGAUGAGAACCGGGUCGUUCUCACAGUCGAACGCAAAGUGUUUUCUCUGCAAGACCAUGAGGAAGCGUUUUCCAGGAACAAUGGCAAAUGGCUGCAAGAGCAUGAUAGAGAGCCGAGCUUAUUCAAAGACCGCCUGUUUGAGUUUGACAUUGCCUUCCCACCAAGCUACCCGUUCAAGGAAGACUGUUCCGGGGCCCACAGCUACAUGCACACACGGUGCCCGGCUUGGUGCGACCGAAUCCUCCUGAGCAAGGCAGCCAGGGCACUGGUGUACACGGGCACGGACGAAUCUGGGAAGCCCCCCGUGACUUACCAAGUGAUGGGCGCUGAUGUGUGCAUGGGGGACCACAAGCCCGUGGCCCUGUACUUCCGCAUGGCCCCCUCGGCUGCAGGUACGUUCCCAGCCAAAGACAAGGCGAGCGCCGGCGGGACGCAGUCGCCGAGGUUGCUUGGCGGCUGCCCCGCGUGCCACCUCCUCUGACUGCGCAUGACCCAUUGGCUGCAUGAUCAUUACAUUUGCUUUGAGCGUGGUAGUUUGGAGUAUUUUUCUUCGUGUCUAGGUGCAUGACGCCUCUAGUCAACCGCCCAGUCAGAAUAGGUUUGAUGUGCCUCUUUGUGUUGAGUGGAGCGAGAGACCUGCCGCUGAGGAAGCGGCCACCCGCUACAUUCAGGUCAAGGUGCCUGGCUCUCCCGUUCGCAUCUUCCGAGAAACAACUGUCUGAAGACGAGGUUUGGGCGAGGCCCAUCUGCCGCCAGCUCUGCGCUGCACCUUGGCUGAGCACCACAUCAGCGUGUCGUGUGCUUUUUGAGCCUGGACAUGUUACGGUGCCUCACUUCCAGGCAGACGACGUGGCUGCACCCGUUGUUCAGCUACUAGCGCCACACCUUUUUAAGGUCUCCUUUGGGGAACGGUUUUAGCCUUUGGAUGACACCCGCACCAAUGUACCUUACUCUGCACGUUUGUAGCAGAGUGUCGAGAGGUAUUCUUUUUACCGGGCUCCCGGAUGUGACAUGGACUUUUUGAGGUUGCGUGUUUCGGGGCGAAUCUCCAGAUUGUGCGAGCAUUGGGCGGACAGGAUGGUAGCGUUGUUUGCGCCUGGAGGCACAAGUGGCAAAACUGGACUCAAGUAGCCAAGGUUUGGAUGUCGUUCUGUCACCACGGGGUGUCCCUUGCGUCCUUUCGCAAUGUCUGAAACGGUGUCUGUGCACCGGGACACAUUUUGGGAGAUUCCCGCUUGUUCGAGGGCCGUUCUGGGCCCUACCGAGAUUAUCCACGAGCGAUCGGCUCCCCCUCCUUGCCCCCAAGUGCACCUGGUUUACUAGUAUUUAUAACUUCUUUGUGGUGCCAAAUUUGGUCAUUUUGUGCAUGUGUGCGCAAGACCUUUUGUGUUCUGGCAUCUGUCAACUGAUUGUGCUACCACCACCAUUUCUAGAUGUCGCUCGUUAUUUAAUGCUGUGAUGCACCGUGGUGUGUUUCCCCCCUUGCGCGUCGUACAAAGUGUUAACAGUGCAGUGUUCCGUCCAGAGGCCUCAACCACCUCGCCGUGAUGCUGUACGAUCGUCACAAAGUCAAGUUUCUCUUUUUAAACGUCAUUUUCAUAAGCACUUUUUUUUUUUCAGUAGUCUAAACAAACAUUCAGAAGAAACUUGCUUGGCCAUCACUUGCCAUUUUGAAUCGGACUGCAAUAAAUCGUGUACAUGCUCAA